UCUCAAUAACUGUAACAUUAUCUCCUCUUUGUUCUGUCCUGGGUAUUCUUCAUCCUUACCCAAGUCAGCUUUGAAUUGUUCUGGAACAACCUAGGGAAAUUUCAGGUGUCAGGAGCCUGAUUGGAGUUCUUGAUUUCUAGUUAUCUCCAGCCUCACGGUCAAACCACCACACUACACCGUCUAGGAGAGGGGAGCAAAAAUGUUCUUUCUCUCAAGUUUUCACUGGCUUGCCUUUCCUGAUUUCUUUGGGAGCACCUCAGCCCUCCUGCUACCAGCGUUGGAGGAAUUGUUCAGGGAACUGAAGUGGUCUGUGGGCAUGUUCCUCAUACUUAACCAUCAAUGAUGACCUCAUCAUAGUCUCCGUUCUGUUUUCUUUUUCUCGUUUUCAUAAGGAAAGAAAUGAUUUGUUGCUUUCUUUCCUUGCCUUCCAUUCCCUUACGUCAUAUCUCUCUGCAAUUGAUUGCCAGGGAACCAACAUACAUUGGAAAAGUGCAUUUUGACAAAGAAAAGAAAUAAUUCUAAACUCUCAAUGUGAUGUAGGAGGAAUGUGCCAUCUGCAGGGCCAAGUCCACAUUCCAGAACCUAGCACGUGGCUCUUGUUUACUCCUCCACCCUUAUCCCUUCCUGAUUCCCCAGAUGAAAGCCACACCAAAUUACUUAAGUUUCUCAGGAAGCACCCUGUUAUUUCUCAUCUCCAGAUCUUUCUUCACACAAGCAUUUGACCUAUCCUGAAUGCCUCUUCCCAUCUCAUCUGCUUGAUGAUGUCCUACUUAUUCCUUAAGGGUGUUCUCUGUGAAGGCUUCACAAAACCACCCAAAAAGUAUUCAUCAUCAGUUCUUUCUGUGUGUAGUCUAUCGCUCUUAAAUCACUAUAUGAACAUUUUAUAUAUAUUUUUCCUGACUAUAUCCUGCAUUCCCAAUGUCAUUUUGUCUUGUUCUUUUUAUGCUCAGAACCUACCACAGCUCCUGGAUACACAGCAGGAUUUCACUAAAUGUGGGUGAAUGAAUAAAUGAGAGUCUAUCUUCCGUUUGGACCCAAAUGAAAUUUAAAGAUUACUUUAGGACUUUCUAAUGAGAUCUAGAAGUUUAGCAACUUUGCAUCAUCACUAUUGAAGGCACGUAGGCUAUUUGGUUCCAUGCAGAGAAAAUUAAAAUAACAAAAGCAAAGAUCUUAUCCAUUAGGAAAUGUGUAUAGUGCUGACACUCUGAUAUUUAUCUUGCUCACUCCUAAUUUCUUCAGAUCCCUCAUAUCAGAGAAGUUAAGAUCUUCCUUUGCCUUAUCUCUGAAUAAAUUAAAUUUCUGAUUCGAGCCAAUGGAUGGUUUUACAAAAAGCAGGUUUUAAAAAUAAGAAAAUUCAGGAGUGACUUCAGA
RNAcentral lists this long non-coding RNA (1371 nucleotides) under Equus caballus (horse). RNAcentral describes it as "lncRNA (ENSECAG00000043992.1)". The record is from RNAcentral. Lineage: Eukaryota; Metazoa; Chordata; Mammalia; Perissodactyla; Equidae.